AGUAAAUAGAUACCCGGGUAGUCCACGCCGUAAACGAUGUCGACUUGGAGGUUGUGCCCUUGAGGCGUGGCUUCCGGAGCUAAACGCGUUAAAGUCGACCGCCUGGGGAGUACGGCCGCAAGGUUAAAACUCAAAUGAAUUGACGGGGGCCCGCACAAGCGGUGGAGCAUGUGGUUUAAUUCGACGCAACGCGAAGAACCUUACCUACUCUUGACAUCCAGAGAACUUAGCAGAGAUGCUUUGGUGCCUUCGGGAACUCUGAGACAGGUGCUGCAUGGCUGUCGUCAGCUCGUGUUGUGAAAUGUUGGGUUAAGUCCCGCAACGAGCGCAACCCUUAUCCUUUGUUGCCAGCGGUUAGGCCGGGAACUCAAAGGAGACUGCCAGUGAUAAACUGGAGGAAGGUGGGGAUGACGUCAAGCCAUCAUGGCCCUUACGAGUAGGGCUACACACGUGCUACAAUGGCGCAUACAAAGAGAAGCGACCUCGCGAGAGCAAGCGGACCUCAUAAAGUGCGUCGUAGUCCGGAUUGGAGU
RNAcentral lists this ribosomal RNA (533 nucleotides) under uncultured bacterium. RNAcentral's name for it is "bacterial SSU rRNA". It matches the Rfam family "Bacterial small subunit ribosomal RNA", at positions 775 to 1304 of the family's 1533-position model. The record is from RNAcentral.